This 367-nucleotide unclassified non-coding RNA is filed under the name uncultured fungus. RNAcentral's name for it is "sequence contains ITS2". Lineage: Eukaryota; Fungi. The record is from RNAcentral.
AACGCAUCUUGCGCUUUUGGGUAUCCCUGAAAGCAUACCUUUCUGAGUAUCGUUUCAACCCCCUCCACGCGGCGUGCAUUUAUUUGUGCGAUUCGUUUGUGGGUAAAUGGAUGUUUGGCUGACGCCAAUCAUCUGAAACGCAUUCAGUUUCAGUAUCUUCGACCGAUAUUAAAAUUUAUUUUUUAGUAUCGCGUUGACGAUGUUUGAUAAUUGACCUUUGGUCAUUACUCUAUCACAUCGGCAAUGUAGAAGAACCACUGUUAAUUGUUUCAAGGCCCAAGAAUAAAAAAACACGUGAUUCAUUUCAUGUUGUUUUCGAAUUCUUAAUCUUGAUCUCAGAUAAAGUAAGAGAACCCGCCGAAUUUAA